RNAcentral lists this transfer RNA (106 nucleotides) under Kalmanozyma brasiliensis GHG001. It matches the Rfam family "tRNA". Rfam says of the family: Transfer RNA (tRNA) molecules are approximately 80 nucleotides in length. Their secondary structure includes four short double-helical elements and three loops (D, anti-codon, and T loops). Further hydrogen bonds mediate the characteristic L-shaped molecular structure. tRNAs have two regions of fundamental functional importance: the anti-codon, which is responsible for specific mRNA codon recognition, and the 3' end, to which the tRNAs corresponding amino acid is attached (by aminoacyl-tRNA synthetases). tRNAs cope with the degeneracy of the genetic code in two manners: having more than one tRNA (with a specific anti-codon) for a particular amino acid; and 'wobble' base-pairing, i.e. permitting non-standard base-pairing at the 3rd anti-codon position. The record is from Rfam by way of RNAcentral. Lineage: Eukaryota; Fungi; Basidiomycota; Ustilaginomycetes; Ustilaginales.
GGGAAUAUGGUCUAGUGGUAUGACGUCGCUUCCGCAUACCUGUUGGAUCCUCCAAGUUCGCGGUCCGGAAAAGCGAAGGUCCGGGGUUCGAUCCCCUGUGUUUCCA